GAUGAACGCUGGCGGCGUGCCUAAUACAUGCAAGUCGAGCGAACGGACGAGAAGCUUGCUUCUCUGAUGUUAGCGGCGGACGGGUGAGUAACACGUGGAUAACCUACCUAUAAGACUGGGAUAACUUCGGGAAACGGAGCUAAUACCGGAUGAUAUUUUGAACCGCAUGGUUCAAAAGUGAAAGACGGUCUUGCUGUCACUUAUAGAUGGAUCCGCGCUGCAUUAGCUAGUUGGUAAGGUAACGGCUUACCAAGGCAACGAUGCAUAGCCGACCUGAGAGGGUGAUCGGCCACACUGGAACUGAGACACGGUCCAGACUCCUACGGGAGGCAGCAGUAGGGAAUCUUCCGCAAUGGGCGAAAGCCUGACGGAGCAACGCCGCGUGAGUGAUGAAGGUCUUCGGAUCGUAAAACUCUGUUAUUAGGGAAGAACAUAUGUGUAAGUAACUGUGCACAUCUUGACGGUACCUAAUCAGAAAGCCACGGCUAACUACGUG
Molecule: ribosomal RNA, 496 nt
Filed under: uncultured bacterium
Lineage: Bacteria
Description: partial 16S ribosomal RNA
Rfam family: Bacterial small subunit ribosomal RNA
Source: RNAcentral